This 503-nucleotide ribosomal RNA is filed under the name uncultured bacterium. RNAcentral's name for it is "partial 16S ribosomal RNA". It matches the Rfam family "Bacterial small subunit ribosomal RNA", at positions 30 to 523 of the family's 1533-position model. The record is from RNAcentral.
AUUGAACGCUGGCGGCAGGCUUAACACAUGCAAGUCGAGCGGGGUGAUGGUGCUUGCACUAUCACUUAGCGGCGGACGGGUGAGUAAUGCUUAGGAAUCUGCCUAUUAGUGGGGGACAACAUCUCGAAAGGGAUGCUAAUACCGCAUACGUCCUACGGGAGAAAGCAGGGGAUCACUUGUGACCUUGCGCUAAUAGAUGAGCCUAAGUCGGAUUAGCUAGUUGGUGGGGUAAAGGCCUACCAAGGCGACGAUCUGUAGCGGGUCUGAGAGGAUGAUCCGACACACGGGGACAGAGACACGGCCCAGACUCCUACGGGAGGCAGCAGUGGGGAAUAUUGGACAAUGGGGGGAACCCGGAUCAAGCCAUGCCGCGUGUGUGAAGAAGGCCUUAUGGUUGUAAAGCACGUUAAGCGAGGAGGAGGCUCUUUUGGUUAAUAACCAAGAUGAGUGGACGUUACUCGCAGAAUAAGCACCGGCUAACUCUGUGCCAGCAGCCGCAGUAA